UAUUCAGCAGUUUCGCCCGCGCCUGCCACUCAAAAGUUUUGAACAGGAACAGAAGUCCCCAAAUCCCCCUUUCGCCGCCUCCGGCGAGCCCCGCCUCUCAUCGCCGCCGCCGAAGACGCAGUGGGAGGGAAGAUGGAUCAGUCCAUCAUGGCCCUCUGCGAGUCUCUCUCGUCGUUGGUAAACCACGCCGAGUCCUCAUCCCGCGAGCUCGCCGACGCCAUCUCCCAACGCCCCAUCCACCUCGAUAUGGCGAGGACCUCCUUCCUGCAGAAGCUGGAGUACAGGGCGGAGGCGGCGGCCGCCGACCUGCAGCACAUCGAGUCCAUCGCCCUCGGCACCGUCUCCUUCGAGGAGCUCCUCGGCCACUGGGGCGAGGCGCUCAACGUCUACGCGCGCCACGCCGACGCCCUCCAGUCCCACCUCGCUUCCUUCGGCUACGAGCCCGCCGACGCAGUCGCAGAGGAGCCUGAGGUUGAUGUGGAAGUGGAAGUGGAAGAUGGAAAUGUCGGUAAGGUCGAGGACCUUGGAGAUGGAUGCCUCAGCGUGUCGCGUUCAGUGCUCAGGUUGGGUAAGCGGCGAUUUCAACACGACAGCGACGCAAUAUUUGAGGAGUCACUGAAGGAUCUUGGGCUUUCAGAUGCUUGUCUAGCCACUCUUUCUUCUGAAGGCGCAAAUUAUGGUGUGAGCCAAAAGAAGCUUUGCAAGAAUCCUGAAAGUACUGAUUAUGGAGAAAAGAUCAUGAAUGAAGCUGAAAUUAUGACUCCCCAAAAUGAAAGAAAUGAUCAAGGUAAUUCUUUCAAAGAAAUGAUAAAGGCAUCUAAGGAUGAGUAUGAGCAACUUCCUUCUUACAUGAAGAGUCUAGCAUCAUGGGAGAAAGUUGAUAAUUCAUCAAGGAUUGCUGUUGGAAACCUCAUCAAGUAGCUCUAAUUGCUCCGAGAUUUAACCUCAUCAAGUACUGUAGUUGUACCAAUGGGAACUGCUUGCCAUCUGAACUAAGAACAAGAUCAAAUCCAACAAGGAUUGUUGUCGGAAACCUCUUUUCCUUGCAUCCUGUAGAAAGGCAAUGGAAGAUUCAAUAAAGCACAUCCAGUAAAGAAGUAGGCCUGAAGACGCCGCUAUGUUUCAUCUCAUCCUCAGAAGCAAGAAAAACAAUUGUCAAUUUCUGAACAGCGGUAUGGAGCAGAGCUGCUAACGGACAUAGCAAGUGUAGGAGUUGCAGGAGGGAAUAUCCAAACUAAAUUCAUACUUCGGUGGUGAUAAAGCUCAGGGAAAUGUUUCGUUGAACCAGGACCAUGUUGGAGAAAUAGGAUUGGGGCGCAAAGGAAGAGCCUGCCUGCUGAUGC
Sorghum bicolor (sorghum) is the source of this 1343-nucleotide RNA transcript. RefSeq lists it as uncharacterized. The record is from RefSeq and is a predicted model, not a curated record. Lineage: Eukaryota; Viridiplantae; Streptophyta; Magnoliopsida; Poales; Poaceae. The transcript has 10 exons.